AUGAACGCUAGCGACAGGCCUAACACAUGCAAGUCGAGGGGCAACGGGGCGUAGCAAUACGCUGCCGGCGACCGGCGGAUGGGUGAGUAACGCGUAUGCAACCUGCCUUCAGCAGGGGGAUAGCCCGUUGAAAGACGGAUUAAUACCCCAUAACACAGGGGCUCCGCAUGGAGAUUAUUGUUAAAGGGAUGCUUCCUUCGGGGGUAUUCCGGCUGAAGAUGGGCAUGCGUUCCAUUAGGUAGUUGGUUGAGGUAACGGCUCACCAAGCCUGCGAUGGAUAGGGGAACUGAGAGGUUGGUCCCCCACACUGGUACUGAGACACGGACCAGACUCCUACGGGAGGCAGCAGCGAGGAAUCUUGGUCAAUGGACGGAAGUCUGAACCAGCCAUGUCGCGUGAAGGAGGACGGCCCUAAGGGUUGUAAACUUCUUUUGCAGGGGAAUAAAGUAUUCCACGAGAUGGGAUAUUGCAAGUACGCUGCGAAUAAGGAUCGGCUAACUCCGUG
RNAcentral lists this ribosomal RNA (505 nucleotides) under uncultured bacterium. RNAcentral describes it as "bacterial SSU rRNA". It matches the Rfam family "Bacterial small subunit ribosomal RNA", at positions 29 to 507 of the family's 1533-position model. The record is from RNAcentral.